CAGUCGCCACGGUAACACAGAGGGUGCGAGCGUUAAUCGGAUUUACUGGGCGUAAAGCGUGCGUAGGCGGCUUUUUAAGUCGGAUGUGGAAUCCCUGAGCUUAACUUAGGAAUUGCAUUCGAUACUGGGAAGCUAGAGUAUGGGAGAGGAUGGUAGAAUUCCAGGUGUAGCGGUGAAAUGCGUAGAGAUCUGGAGGAAUACCGAUGGCGAAGGCAGCCAUCUGGCCUAAUACUGACGCUGAGGUACGAAAGCAUGGGGAGCAAACAGGAUUAGAUACCCCAGUAGUCCCUGUCUCUUAUAC
Molecule: ribosomal RNA, 301 nt
Filed under: uncultured bacterium
Lineage: Bacteria
Description: partial 16S ribosomal RNA
Rfam family: Bacterial small subunit ribosomal RNA
Source: RNAcentral